GUUUACAACUCCCAAACCCCUGUGAACAUACCUUAAUGUUGCCUCGGCGGAUCAGCCCGCGCCCCGUAAAACGGGACGGCCCGCCAGAGGACCCAAACUCUAAUGUUUCUUAUUGUAACUUCUGAGUAAAACAAACAAAUAAAUCAAAACUUUCAACAACGGAUCUCUUGGUUCUGGCAUCGAUGAAGAACGCAGCAAAAUGCGAUAAGUAAUGUGAAUUGCAGAAUUCAGUGAAUCAUCGAAUCUUUGAACGCACAUUGCGCCCGCUGGUAUUCCGGCGGGCAUGCCUGUUCGAGCGUCAUUUCAACCCUCAAGCCCCCGGGUUUGGUGUUGGGGAUCGGCUCUGCCUUCUGGCGGUGCCGCCCCCGAAAUACAUUGGCGGUCUCGCUGCAGCCUCCAUUGCGUAGUAGCUAACACCUCGCAACUGGAACGCGGCGCGGCCAUGCCGUAAAACCCCAACUUCUGAAUGUUGACCUCGGAUCAGGUAGGAAUACCCGCUGAACUUAAGCAUAUCAA
RNAcentral lists this ribosomal RNA (516 nucleotides) under Fusarium tricinctum. Its description in RNAcentral is "eukaryotic LSU rRNA". The stretch from base 148 to 301 matches the Rfam family "5.8S ribosomal RNA". Lineage: Eukaryota; Fungi; Ascomycota; Sordariomycetes; Hypocreales; Nectriaceae. The record is from RNAcentral.